RNAcentral lists this ribosomal RNA (467 nucleotides) under uncultured bacterium. RNAcentral's name for it is "partial 16S ribosomal RNA". It matches the Rfam family "Bacterial small subunit ribosomal RNA", at positions 28 to 507 of the family's 1533-position model. The record is from RNAcentral.
GACGAACGCUGGCGGCGUGCUUAACACAUGCAAGUCGAACGGAAAGGCCUCUUUCGGGGGGUACUCGAGUGGCGAACGGGUGAGUAACACGUGAGUAACCUGCCCUUGACUUUGGGAUAACUUCAGGAAACUGGGGCUAAUACCGGAUAGGAGCUCCUGCUGCAUGGUGGGGGUUGGAAAGUUUCGGCGGUUGGGGAUGGACUCGCGGCUUAUCAGCUUGUUGGUGGGGUAGUGGCUUACCAAGGCUUUGACGGGUAGCCGGCCUGAGAGGGUGACCGGCCACAUUGGGACUGAGAUACGGCCCAGACUCCUACGGGAGGAAGCAGUGGGGAAUAUUGCACAAUGGGUGGAAGCCGGAUGCAGCAACGCCGGGUGCGGGAUGACGGCCUUCGGGUUGUAAACCGCUUUCGCUCAUGACGAAGCUUUGUGUGACGGUAGUGGGUAAAGAAGCACCGGCUAACUACGUG